RNAcentral lists this non-coding RNA (22 nucleotides) under Arabidopsis thaliana (thale cress). The record is from RNAcentral. Lineage: Eukaryota; Viridiplantae; Streptophyta; Magnoliopsida; Brassicales; Brassicaceae.
GGCGUGCCGGAGUGGUUAUCGG